RNAcentral lists this ribosomal RNA (454 nucleotides) under uncultured bacterium. Its description in RNAcentral is "partial 16S ribosomal RNA". It matches the Rfam family "Bacterial small subunit ribosomal RNA", at positions 28 to 507 of the family's 1533-position model. The record is from RNAcentral.
GAUGAACGCUGACAGCAUGCUUAACACAUGCAAGUCUACUUGAACUUCGGUUUGGGUGGCGGACGGGUGAGUAACGCGUAAAGAACUUGCCUCACAGUUAGGGACAACAUUUGGAAACGAAUGCUAAUACCUGAUAUUAUGAUUUUAGGGCAUCCUAAGAUUAUGAAAGCUAUAUGCACUGUGAGAGAGCUUUGCGUCCCAUUAGCUAGUUGGAGAGGUAACGGCUCACCAAGGCGAUGAUGGGUAGCCGGCCUGAGAGGGUGAACGGCCACAAGGGGACUGAGACACGGCCCUUACUCCUACGGGAGGCAGCAGUGGGGAAUAUUGGACAAUGGACCAAAAGUCUGAUCCAGCAAUUCUGUGUGCACGAUGACGUUUUUCGGAAUGUAAAGUGCUUUCAGUUGGGAAGAAAAAAAUGACGGUACCAACAGAAGAAGUGACGGCUAAAUACGUG